Molecule: ribosomal RNA, 848 nt
Filed under: uncultured archaeon
Lineage: Archaea
Description: bacterial SSU rRNA
Rfam family: Archaeal small subunit ribosomal RNA
Source: RNAcentral
GCUAUUGGAGUUCGAUUAAGCCAUGCGAGUCGAGAGUCCUCGGGACUCGGCGUACCGCUCAGUAACACGUGGGUAACCUGCCCUAUGCUGGGGAAUAACCUCGGGAAACUGAGAAUAAUGCCCCAUAGCCCACUACGCCUGGAGCGGUGAGUGGGUCAAAGCUCCGGCGGCAUAGGAUGGGCCUGCGCCGUAUCAGGUUGUAGGGGGUGUAAAGUACCCUCUAGCCAUCAACGCGUACGGGUGUUGGGAGACAUUGCCCGGAGAUGGAUUCUGAGACACGAAUCCAGACCCUACGGGGUGCAGCAGGCGCGAAAACUUGGCAAUGCGAGCAAUCGUGACCAGGGAACUCCAAGUGCGUAGGGUAAGACCUACKCUUUUCUUGACUCUUCAAAGGUCUUGGAAUAAGGGGUGGGUAAGGACGGUGCCAGCCGCCGCGGUAAUACCGGCGCCUCAAGUGGUAGUCGCUUUUAUUGGGCCUAAAACGUCCGUAGCCGGUCUGGUGCAUUCGUGGGUAAAUCAACCCGCUCAACGGGUUGAAUUCUGCGAGCACGGCCAGACUUGGGACCGGGAGAGGUGUGGGGUACUCUCAGGGUAGGGGUAAAAUCCUGUCAUCCUGAGAGGACCACCUGUUGCGAAGGCGCCACACUAGAACGGAUCCGACGGUCAGGGACGAAACCUAGGGGCACGAACCGGAUUAGAUACCCGGGUAGUCCUAGGUGUAAACGCUGUGGACUUGAUGUUGGGGGCGCUCCGAGCGCUCUCAGUGUCGAAGCGAAGGUGAUAAGUCCACUGCCUGGGGAGUACGGUCGCAAGGCUGAAACUUAAAGGAAUUGGCGGGGGAGCACUGC